RNAcentral lists this long non-coding RNA (1223 nucleotides) under Nicotiana tabacum (common tobacco). RNAcentral describes it as "long non-coding RNA (NTAB_LNC000132)". Lineage: Eukaryota; Viridiplantae; Streptophyta; Magnoliopsida; Solanales; Solanaceae. The record is from RNAcentral.
CAAGGUAGAGCCCCUUCCCUGUAGGCAAAGGAAUAAAAUCGCAACUCUUAUUUGCCUCAAAUUCUUUAGCCAUAGCCUCCUACCAACCUGGGUGAAGUGAUACUUAAGAGUAGAAUAUUGGCUCAGAUAUAUAUGAAAUAGAUUUGAGCAUGAUUUGAUUUGUGGGAGAAAGAGCACAAAAAGGCAAUACAAUUGAUUUAAUAGGUGCAAAGAAACAAGAAUCAGUAAGGUUAGUAAGAAAAACAUAAUUGCAUACAUAAUUAUUAAGAUAAACAUGGGGUCUUAUUUGUUCUGAUAAAUUUUCUGAUUUCAGGUAACAGAAGACAAACAAUAUUCAGAAGAGGUGAAUGAGAAUGAGUAAUUGAGAUAUGUGACGUAGGAUAGAUAAGAGAACUUCUAGCAAAUGGUAUUGGUGACUGGGAGUAGAUAGUUGAAAGUGGUGAAUAAGAACCAUGCAUGGUGAACCCCUAGCAAUAGAGUCAUGGUUGGAAAAAGUGGUAGUAGGUGAAGAAGGAAACUCAGAAAUAGGAACUCCAUGCUGAGAAGGCAAUGUAGGAAAAAGAGGUUGAUUUCUCACUUUAGAAAAAAAAGGAAAAAUGAAUUCAUGAAAUUUAACAUCACUAGAAACAAAAAGUUUCAUGUUUUGUAAAUUUAAAAACUUGUAACCCUUCUUCCCAAAAGAAUAUAAAGACACAAGGGACUGACCUUGGGUCAAGUUUACUUAUGUGAUGUGGUAAAGUGCUAGCAUAGACAAGGCAACCAAAACUCUUAAGAGAGUGAUACUGUAACACCCAGGAAAAUUUUGAAGAAUUUAAGUGUAAAGUCCGGUAAAAUUUGCAAAGAAAAUAUUGUUUCAUGGUGCCGGACCUUUUGGGUUGAACAAUGCACGGAAAAGUAAAGAAAUAUUUUUGGCGGAAAAGUGUAUUUCUACGGUCCAUUAUGCGACCGCAGAAUCACUCUGCGGACCGCAUAAUGGCCGCAAAGUGAGGCAGUUAAUUGGGUCAGUUGAAAGCAAUUAUGCGGUCGACUAUGCGACCGCAUAACUGUUAUGCGAUGUACUAUGCGACCGCAGAACAGUUAUGUGGACCGCAUAGUGACCGCAGACUCAGGCAGAUUUUUGGUCAUUUUGGACACCAAUUAUGCGACCGAUAUGCGGUCGCAUAUGCAACCGCAGAACCUGUUCCGGAGCUUCAUUUUUGAAUUUUUAAAACCCGACCCUAUUU